This 766-nucleotide long non-coding RNA is filed under the name Equus caballus (horse). Its description in RNAcentral is "lncRNA (ENSECAG00000041004.2)". Lineage: Eukaryota; Metazoa; Chordata; Mammalia; Perissodactyla; Equidae. The record is from RNAcentral.
CCCAAGAGAUGGUGUAUACAUAGCACUUUGUCAACUGUAAAGUCCUAUGUAGAUAUUGUAAUUUAGCCUUGGCUAGAGAAGGCCUCACAAAGGAGGUAGGGUACAUAAGCCUGAGCUGGAAGAGUAGGUGGCAGGUGGCAGAGGGGUGAGGAGGGCCUUACAGGUGGGGGGGACAUGGGUGCUGCUGGGAGGUUGGAGUGAGCAUGGUCAGGAGACAUGAGUUGGCCCUCCUCACAUCCAACUUGAGAGGUUGGUGCUCACCUCUCCCUUCCACAGAUGAGGAUGCUGGGGGAUCCGAAGAUAUCCAAGUGGCCAGUGUGAAGCUGUGCCCCACCUCCCGAACUCCCCACCCCCAGUCUCUCUGCUGGUCAGGGAAACAAAUUUGCUCUUCAAAUUUGCUGCUCCAACGUUAACUGCAUUUAGAUAAGCUGGAGGAGGGGUCCUAAGGACAGAGCGUGAUACGUACUUGUCCUCAGAGGAAGCAGAGGUUUACCAUUGUUCUGUCAACUUGACCAUGAAGAGUGCAUCUGGCCAGACAACAUGAUGCAGCCUGGAAUUGCCAUCUCUCCUCCUGGGAGGUUUAUCCCUCCCAUCUGCUACAUUUCACCCAAAUGAGGAUGCAGAUCAGAAACAUGUUGCAGUAUGAGCUCUCUGCAGAAUUGGUGUGUGCUCCAUCUUUGAAUGUAUCACUCUCAUCACAGUGCCUGGUAUACAGCAGUUUCUCACUAAACACUUACUAACUCAUUUAAUAAAUGACUGAGUGAGC